ACAUACACACAUGGAUUAUACAGAUUUUUCAAGAUGGUUGUACAGGUGGGCAUCCAAAGGGGUUGACGUGUAUGGAAACUACAGAGAAGUGAGGAACUCAAGCAAAGGCCACCACACCUCAACACCAUCCACCUGUAAAGACCAGAUGGACAGAGACUGACCAUUGGUGACCCAUGGCCACAACAGAACCUGUCCACACUGCAGAGGACAAGGGGUGAUCCCAGCACCUCUCUGCAAGUGUUGCAACAACAAUGGGCAUCGAGCCAAAAACUUUCCCAAACACCAGCCAUAGCCUCCGACUGCAUCAGAAGUUACGGCCUUGGCAAAGCCCAGGCCCAGGUCGUGAAAGGUCAGAAGCAACGGACACCCCGCCAUCACAUUGACAACGACCCAGGUGCUAACCAGAGCUAAAGGACAUGUGAUUUGCCUGUUGAAAGUAGGACAUUUUGCCAAAAUAUGCAAGAAGAAAUCCACCUGCCCCAACUGUCCUUUUAAGGACAAUAAAGACAAAGACAAAGAGACUGUGAACCAGAACGAUGAGAGGUGAAGGAGCAGCAUAUGGAAUGCAUAUCAGUUCAUUACUUUUGAUAAAUGUUAAAGAUCAGUUACAAUAGACAGAAUGCAAUGUGGGGUGUUUGAAUUGAAAGUCUAGAAAAUGGGCAGGGAAAGAUGGAGAGUUGUCACAGCAUGGCUCCAAACAGAAUAGGGUUAAUAGGUUAAUAGUUAAUAGGGAAGAUAGGGAAGAGUCUUCAAGCCAAAGGGUGGCUGACACACACAAAGCAAGUUAAAAGAAAGAAAUAAGCAUGUAAAUCCAAUCCAAUCAAAUUACCAUGUAGGGAAAGAAAUGUCAAAACAACACACCACCUAGGACUGAAGUUCCAAAUGUAAUUUUGUGAUAUCCUGUGGGCUAAUAAUUUAAGUAGUGUGUUGCCUAAAAGUGCAGCACCAAUUCACAGCAAACCCAUGUGUACUGACAGUGGUAUGAUACCAGUAUAAGUAUACAUGAAUCACUUUGCAAAACUGAUCAAUGUGUACACAGAAUGGCAAUGCUUAAGCAAUACUGCAUGAGUGAUAUGUGUAUGAAUCAAUAUUAAAAUGUAUGAAAACAGAUGGCUGAAAGGCCUAAUAUAAAAGAUCACUGUAAAGUGAACUGAAACCACAAGUAGCCAACUAAAUUGCUCAUGUAGCACAUAAAUAAUAGUGUUAAUUAAUAAAUAAAAUGACCUUAGUAAUUAAA
Molecule: long non-coding RNA, 1237 nt
Organism: Clupea harengus (Atlantic herring)
Lineage: Eukaryota; Metazoa; Chordata; Actinopteri; Clupeiformes; Clupeidae
Source: RefSeq, a predicted model, not a curated record